UCCAUUACAGGGAAUGAAGUUCUCCCUUGGAUUUUAUCCAAAACCGCUUUUCAAGCUGAUGACUUCUGCGAUUUU
Molecule: non-coding RNA, 75 nt
Organism: Subdoligranulum sp. 4_3_54A2FAA
Lineage: Bacteria; Bacillati; Bacillota; Clostridia; Eubacteriales; Oscillospiraceae
Source: Rfam